UACUGCAUUUUUUCUUACCUGUGUUUUUCUUUUUUUGAAAACUUUGCUUUGGUAGGCUCUAUAUGGGGCCUGCCAGAGAUUAAACUCAACCAAAUUUUAUUUAAUGUCAACCGAUUAUUUAAUAGUCAAAACUUUCAACAACGGAUCUCUUGGUUCUCGCAUCGAUGAAGAACGCAGCGAAAUGCGAUAAGUAAUAUGAAUUGCAGAUAUUCGUGAAUCAUCGAAUCUUUGAACGCACAUUGCGCCCUUUGGUAUUCCAAAGGGCAUGCCUGUUUGAGCGUCAUUUCUCCCUCAAACCCUCGGGUUUGGUGUUGAGCGAUACGCUGGGUUUGCUUGAAAGAAAGGCGGAGUAUAAACUAAUGGAUAGGUUUUUUCCACUCAUUGGUACAAACUCCAAAACUUCUUCCAAAUUCGACCUCAAAUCAGGUAGGACUACCCGCUGAACUUAAGCAUAUCAAUAAGCGGAGG
This 468-nucleotide ribosomal RNA is filed under the name Lodderomyces parapsilosis. Its description in RNAcentral is "eukaryotic LSU rRNA". The stretch from base 130 to 283 matches the Rfam family "5.8S ribosomal RNA". The record is from RNAcentral. Lineage: Eukaryota; Fungi; Ascomycota; Pichiomycetes; Serinales; Debaryomycetaceae.